Molecule: ribosomal RNA, 425 nt
Filed under: uncultured bacterium
Lineage: Bacteria
Description: partial 16S ribosomal RNA
Rfam family: Bacterial small subunit ribosomal RNA
Source: RNAcentral
GUGGGGAAUCUUGCGCAAUGGGCGAAAGCCUGACGCAGCCAUGCCGCGUGAAUGAUGAAGGUCUUAGGAUUGUAAAAUUCUUUCACCGGGGACGAUAAUGACGGUACCCGGAGAAGAAGCCCCGGCUAACUUCGUGCCAGCAGCCGCGGUAAUACGAAGGGGGCUAGCGUUGCUCGGAAUUACUGGGCGUAAAGGGCGCGUAGGCGGACAGUUUAGUCAGAGGUGAAAGCCCAGGGCUCAACCUUGGAAUUGCCUUUGAUACUGGCUGUCUUGAGUACGGGAGAGGUGAGUGGAACUCCGAGUGUAGAGGUGAAAUUCGUAGAUAUUCGGAAGAACACCAGUGGCGAAGGCGACUCACUGGCCCAAUACUGACGCUGAGGCGCGAAAGCGUGGGGAGCAAACAGGAUUAGAAACCCUUGUAGUCC